UUUAUGGAGAGUUUGAUCCUGGCUCAGGAUGAACGCUGGCGGCGUGCCUAAUACAUGCAAGUCGAGCGAACGGACGAGAAGCUUGCUUCUCUGAUGUUAGCGGCGGACGGGUGAGUAACACGUGGAUAACCUACCUAUAAGACUGGGAUAACUUCGGGAAACCGGAGCUAAUACCGGAAAACCG
This 184-nucleotide ribosomal RNA is filed under the name Staphylococcus aureus. RNAcentral describes it as "partial 16S ribosomal RNA". It matches the Rfam family "Bacterial small subunit ribosomal RNA", at positions 1 to 179 of the family's 1533-position model. The record is from RNAcentral. Lineage: Bacteria; Bacillati; Bacillota; Bacilli; Caryophanales; Staphylococcaceae.